AUUGAACGCUGGCGGCAUGCUUUACACAUGCAAGUCGAACGGUAACAGGCCGCAAGGUGCUGACGAGUGGCGAACGGGUGCGUAAUGCAUCGGAACGUGCCCCGUCGUGGGGGAUAACUACUCGAAAGAGUAGCUAAUACCGCAUACGAUCUAUGGUUGAAAGCGGGGGACCGCAAGGGCUCGCGCGAUUGGAGCGGCCGCUGUCAGAUUAGGUAGUUGGUGGGGUAAAGGCUCACCAAGGCACCGAUCUGUAGCUGGUCUGAGAGGACGACCAGCCACACUGGAACUGAGACACGGCCCAGACUCCUACGGGAGGCAGCAGUAGGGAAUUUUGGACAAUGGGCGCAAGCCUGAUCCAGCAAUGCCGCGUGCAGGAAGAAGGCCUUCGGGUUGUAAAAUGCUUUUGUACGGAACGAAACGGCUCUGGUUAAUACCCGGGGCUAAUGACGGUACCGUAAGAAUAAGCACCGGCUAACUACGUG
RNAcentral lists this ribosomal RNA (482 nucleotides) under uncultured bacterium. RNAcentral's name for it is "partial 16S ribosomal RNA". It matches the Rfam family "Bacterial small subunit ribosomal RNA", at positions 30 to 507 of the family's 1533-position model. The record is from RNAcentral.